Notamacropus eugenii (tammar wallaby) is the source of this 129-nucleotide microRNA precursor. Ensembl annotates it as microRNA 31. Its record names the gene MIR31. The record is from Ensembl. NCBI's taxonomy places the organism in Eukaryota, Metazoa, Chordata, Mammalia, Diprotodontia, Macropodidae.
UCAGAGCUGGAGAGGAGGCAAGAUGUUGGCAUAGCUGUUGAACUAAGAACCUGCUAUGCCAACAUAUUGCCAUCUUUCUUGUCUAUCAGCAACCAUGGUAUCCUUUGUAUUUGUUCUUACCAUUACUGU